Molecule: ribosomal RNA, 923 nt
Filed under: uncultured archaeon
Lineage: Archaea
Description: bacterial SSU rRNA
Rfam family: Archaeal small subunit ribosomal RNA
Source: RNAcentral
GGCUCAGUAACACGUGGAUAACCUGCCCUUGGGACCGGCAUAACCCCGGGAAACUGGGGAUAAUUCCGGAUAACGCAUAUGUGCUGGAAUGCUUUAUGCGUAAAAUGGAUUCGUCUGCCCAAGGAUGGGUCUGCGGCCUAUCAGGUAGUAGUGGGUGUAAUGUACCUACUAGCCAGCGACGGGUACGGGUUGUGAGAGCAAGAGCCCGGAGAUGGAUUCUGAGACAUGAAUCCAGGCCCUACGGGGCGCAGCAGGCGCGAAAACUUUACAAUGCGGGAAACCGUGAUAAGGGGACACCGAGUGCCAGCAUCAUAUGCUGGCUGUCCAGGUGUGUAAAAUACACCUGUUAGCAAGGGCCGGGCAAGACCGGUGCCAGCCGCCGCGGUAACACCGGCCCGGGGAGUGGUGAUCGUGAUUAUUGGGUCUAAAGGGUCCGUAGCCGGUUUGGCCAGUCCUCCGGGAAAUCUGAUAGCUUAACUAUUAGGCAAACCCGGCAUACUGCCAGACUUGGAACCGGGAGAGGUAAGAGGUACUACAGGGGUAGGAGCGAAAUCUUGUAAUCCCUGUGGGACCACCUGUGGCGAAGGCGUCUUACCAGAACGGGUUCGACAGUGAGGGACGAUUGCUGGGGGCACGAACCGGAUUAGAUACCCGGGUAGUCCCAGCCGUAAACGAUGCUCGCUAGGUGUCAGGCAUGGCGCGACCGUGUCUGGUGCCGCAGGGAAGCCGUGAAGCGAGCCACCUGGGGAAGUACGGCCGCAAGGCUGAAACUUAAAGGAAUUGGCCCGCCGAGCACAACAACGCGCUGGAGCCUGCGGUUUAAUUGGACUCAACGCCCGGACAACUCACCGGGGGACGACAGCAAAAUGUAGGCCAGGGCUGAAGACCUUGCCCUGAAUCGCUGAGAGGUGGUGCAUGGCCCA